AGACCGAACGCUGGCGGCAUGCCUAACACAUGCAAGUCGAACGAGACCUUCGGGUCUAGUGGCGCACGGGUGCGUAACGCGUGGGAAUCUGCCCUUGGGUUCGGGAUAACAGUUGGAAACGACUGCUAAUACCGGAUAAUGACUUCGGUCCAAAGAUUUAUUGCCCAGGGAUGAGCCCGCGUAGGAUUAGCUAGUUGGUGAGGUAAAGGCUCACCAAGGCGACGAUCCUUAGCUGGUCUGAGAGGAUGAUCAGCCACACGUGGGGCUGGAGACCACGGCCCAGACCUCCGUACGGGAGGCAGCAGGUGGGGAAUAGUUGGACAAGUGGGACGAAAGCCUAGACUCCAAGCAAUCGGCCGCGUAGAGUUGAGUACGGAAGGUCGUUAAGGGUUGUAAAGUCCGUUACGUUUUAACCCGGAUUGGAAUAAGUGAAC
RNAcentral lists this ribosomal RNA (434 nucleotides) under uncultured soil bacterium. Its description in RNAcentral is "bacterial SSU rRNA". It matches the Rfam family "Bacterial small subunit ribosomal RNA", at positions 26 to 465 of the family's 1533-position model. The record is from RNAcentral.